AACGAACGCUGGCGGCAGGCUUAACACAUGCAAGUCGAACGGAUCCUUCGGGAUUAGUGGCAGACGGGUGAGUAACGCGUGGGAACGUACCCUUUGCUACGGAAUAACUCAGGGAAACUUGAGCUAAUACCGUAUGUGCCCUACGGGGAAAGAUUUAUCGGCAAAGGAUCGGCCCGCGUUGGAUUAGCUAGUUGGUGGGGUAAUGGCCUACCAAGGCGACGAUCCAUAGCUGGUCUGAGAGGAUGAUCAGCCACACUGGGACUGAGACACGGCCCAGACUCCUACGGGAGGCAGCAGUGGGGAAUAUUGGACAAUGGGCGCAAGCCUGAUCCAGCCAUGCCGCGUGAGUGAUGAAGGUCUUAGGAUUGUAAAGCUCUUUCACCGGUGAAGAUAAUGACGGUAGCCGGAGAAGAAGCCCCGGCUAACUUCGUG
This 432-nucleotide ribosomal RNA is filed under the name uncultured bacterium. Its description in RNAcentral is "partial 16S ribosomal RNA". It matches the Rfam family "Bacterial small subunit ribosomal RNA", at positions 29 to 507 of the family's 1533-position model. The record is from RNAcentral.